UCCCUGGUAGUCCAGUGGCUAGGACUCCGUGCUCCCAAUACAGGGGGCCUGGGUUCAAUCCUUAGUCAGGGAA
Molecule: non-coding RNA, 73 nt
Organism: Bos taurus (domestic cattle)
Lineage: Eukaryota; Metazoa; Chordata; Mammalia; Artiodactyla; Bovidae
Source: Rfam